This 497-nucleotide ribosomal RNA is filed under the name uncultured bacterium. RNAcentral describes it as "partial 16S ribosomal RNA". It matches the Rfam family "Bacterial small subunit ribosomal RNA", at positions 28 to 507 of the family's 1533-position model. The record is from RNAcentral.
GAUGAACGCUGGCGGCGUGCCUAAUACAUGCAAGUCGAGCGAACAGACGAGGAGCUUGCUCCUCUGACGUUAGCGGCGGACGGGUGAGUAACACGUGGAUAACCUACCUAUAAGACUGGGAUAACUUCGGGAAACCGGAGCUAAUACCGGAUAAUAUAUUGAACCGCAUGGUUCAAUAGUGAAAGACGGCUUUGCUGUCACUUAUAGCUGGAUCCGCGCCGCAUUAGCUAGUUGGUAAGGUAACGGCUUACCAAGGCGACGAUGCGUAGCCGACCUGAGAGGGUGAUCGGCCACACUGGAACUGAGACACGGUCCAGACUCCUACGGGAGGCAGCAGUAGGGAAUCUUCCGCAAUGGGCGAAAGCCUGACGGAGCAACGCCGCGUGAGUGAUGAAGGUCUUCGGAUCGUAAAGCUCUGUUAUUAGGGAAGAACAAAUGUGUAAGUAACUAUGCACGUCUUGACGGUACCUAAUCAGAAAGCCACGGCUAACUACGUG